GCUGGCGGGCAGGCCUAACACAUGCAAGUCGAGCGGUAACACAGAGGAGCUUGCUCCUUGGGUGACGAGCGGCGGACGGGUGAGUAAUGCCUGGGGAUCUGCCCGAUAGAGGGGGAUAACUACGGGAAACUGUAGCUAAUACCGCAUAAUGUCUACGGACCAAAGUGGGGGCUCUUCGGACCUCAUGCUAUCGGAUGAACCCAGGUGGGAUUAGCUAGUUGGUGAGGUAAUGGCUCACCAAGGCGACGAUCUCUAACUGGUUUGAGAGAAUGACCAGUCACACUGGAACUGAGACACGGUCCAGACUCCUACGGGAGGCAGCAGUGGGGAAUAUUGCACAAUGGGCGCAAGCCUGAUGCAGCCAUGCCGCGUGUGUGAAGAAGGCCUUCGGGUUGUAAAGCACUUUCAGCGGGGAGGAAGGGUCACUAGUUAAUACCUAGUGGCAUUGACGUUACUCGCAGAAGAAGCACCGGCUAACUCCGUGCCAGCAGCCGCGGUAAUACGGAGGGUGCAAGCGUUAAUCGGAAUUACUGGGCGUAAAGCGCACGCAGGCGGUUUGUUAAGUCAGAUGUGAAAUCCCCGAGCUCAACUUGGGAACUGCAUUUGAAACUGGCAAGCUAGAGUCUUGUAGAGGGGGGU
Molecule: ribosomal RNA, 639 nt
Filed under: Plesiomonas shigelloides
Lineage: Bacteria; Pseudomonadati; Pseudomonadota; Gammaproteobacteria; Enterobacterales; Enterobacteriaceae
Description: bacterial SSU rRNA
Rfam family: Bacterial small subunit ribosomal RNA
Source: RNAcentral